UCUCGCAGAGCCCCCGUGAUCUACCCCUUGAUCUCCUGCGACGGGUGCAACGACGCCAAAGUCACCUUCGGCUGCUUGGUCAGCGACUUCUUCCCCCCGCCCGUCACCGUCACGUGGGACGACAGGACCGCGGGAAACCAAGAGACCUUCCAGGCCAUUCAGACCAGCAACGGCUACUACAGCCUCAGCAGCGAGUUCACCGUCCCCGUCAGCAGCUUGAACGGCAACUCCUUCUGGUGCCAGGCGACCUACUCCGGAACCACCAUCAGGAAGGAGAUCCCAGGUGAGAAAGGCAACGGGGAGUCGCUCCCGGCAUUGCGCGACGUCUUGGUGGGCGCCGAGAUGG
This is a non-coding RNA of Aptenodytes forsteri (emperor penguin), 346 nucleotides long. The record is from the annotation of a RefSeq genome assembly. NCBI's taxonomy places the organism in Eukaryota, Metazoa, Chordata, Aves, Sphenisciformes, Spheniscidae.